Molecule: transfer RNA, 101 nt
Filed under: Proteus mirabilis
Lineage: Bacteria; Pseudomonadati; Pseudomonadota; Gammaproteobacteria; Enterobacterales; Morganellaceae
Description: tRNA-OTHER
Rfam family: tRNA
About the family: Transfer RNA (tRNA) molecules are approximately 80 nucleotides in length. Their secondary structure includes four short double-helical elements and three loops (D, anti-codon, and T loops).
Source: RNAcentral
GACUCACUCGCUUAAUGGUAAAGCAACCCCCUUCAUAAGAGUCCUUUUGUAGGCCCCUUAUGAAGGGGUAGAUCUGAGUUCAAUUCUCAGGUGAGUCGCCA